RNAcentral lists this ribosomal RNA (301 nucleotides) under uncultured bacterium. RNAcentral describes it as "partial 16S ribosomal RNA". It matches the Rfam family "Bacterial small subunit ribosomal RNA", at positions 509 to 808 of the family's 1533-position model. The record is from RNAcentral.
CAGCAGCCGCGGGAAUACGUAGGUCCCGAGCGUUGUCCGGAUUUAUUGGGCGUAAAGCGAGCGCAGGCGGUUAGAUAAGUCUGAAGUUAAAGGCUGUGGCUUAACCAUAGUACGCUUUGGAAACUGUUUAACUUGAGUGCAAGAGGGGAGAGUGGAAUUCCAUGUGUAGCGGUGAAAUGCGUAGAUAUAUGGAGGAACACCGGUGGCGAAAGCGGCUCUCUGGCUUGUAACUGACGCUGAGGCUCGAAAGCGUGGGGAGCAAACAGGAUUAGAUACCCCAGUAGUCCCUGUCUCUUAUACC